ACACGCUUGACGGGGUGCCGGUCAAUCCGGCUGAGAUGGCGCAGGUCAUUCGGCAUGUAGAUCAAUAUCCUGCAUGGCUGAAUGCUCGCAGCGCUGGUCCCGUGGAACCUGAUCCGGUUGAUACCGGCGUAGGGAAUCGAGCGGUGGCUGGCG
RNAcentral lists this non-coding RNA (153 nucleotides) under Halomonas huangheensis. Its description in RNAcentral is "TPP sequence". It matches the Rfam family "TPP riboswitch aptamer (THI element)". From Rfam's summary of the family: Vitamin B(1) in its active form thiamin pyrophosphate (TPP) is an essential coenzyme that is synthesised by coupling of pyrimidine and thiazole moieties in bacteria. The previously detected thiamin-regulatory element, thi box was extended, resulting in a new, highly conserved RNA secondary structure, the THI element, which is widely distributed in eubacteria and also occurs in some archaea. Analysis of operon structures identified a large number of new candidate thiamin-regulated genes, mostly transporters, in various prokaryotic organisms. The record is from Rfam by way of RNAcentral. Lineage: Bacteria; Pseudomonadati; Pseudomonadota; Gammaproteobacteria; Oceanospirillales; Halomonadaceae.